Molecule: non-coding RNA, 267 nt
Organism: Chlorocebus sabaeus (green monkey)
Lineage: Eukaryota; Metazoa; Chordata; Mammalia; Primates; Cercopithecidae
Rfam family: Metazoan signal recognition particle RNA
About the family: The signal recognition particle (SRP) is a universally conserved ribonucleoprotein. It is involved in the co-translational targeting of proteins to membranes.
Source: Rfam
GCCAGGCAUGGUGGCUCACGCCUAUAAUCCCAACACUUUGGGAGGCCGAGGCGGGUGGAUCACCUGAGGUUGGGAGUUCAAGACCAGCCUGGCCAACAUGAUGAAACCCUAUCUGUAGUAAAAAAACAAACAAAAAAUACAAAAAAUUAGCNNNNNNNNNNGCUAAUUUUUUGUAUUUUUUGUUUGUUUUUUUACUACAGAUAGGGUUUCAUCAUGUUGGCCAGGCUGGUCUUGAACUCCCAACCUCAGGUGAUCCACCUGCUUCAG